RNAcentral lists this ribosomal RNA (252 nucleotides) under uncultured prokaryote. RNAcentral's name for it is "partial 16S ribosomal RNA". It matches the Rfam family "Bacterial small subunit ribosomal RNA", at positions 524 to 775 of the family's 1533-position model. The record is from RNAcentral.
UACGUAGGGUGCGAGCGUUGUCCGGAAUUAUUGGGCGUAAAGAGCUCGUAGGCGGUCUGUCGCGUCGGCUGUGAAAACUCGGGGCUCAACCCCGAGCCUGCAGUCGAUACGGGCAGACUAGAGUGCUGUAGGGGGGACUGGAAUUCCUGGUGUAGCGGUGAAAUGCGCAGAUAUCAGGAGGAACACCGGUGGCGAAGGCGGGUCUCUGGGCCGUAACUGACGCUGAGGAGCGAAAGCGUGGGGAGCAAACAG